AACGAACGCUGGCGGCGUGUCUUAAGCAUGCAAGUCGAGCGGCAAGGAAGUGCUUGCACUUCCCUAGAGCGGCGGACUGGUGAGUAACGCGUGGGUGAUCUACCUCGGGGUUGGGGAUAGCCAUUAGAAAUAGUGGGUAAUACCGAAUACGCUUCCAGGGCUACGGCCUUGGAAGGAAAGGCGCUACGGCGCCGACCUGAGAUGAGCCCGCGUCCCAUUAGCUAGUUGGUGAGGUAACGGCCCACCAAGGCGAUGAUGGGUAGGCGGCCUGAGAGGGUGUACGCCCACAUUGGGACUGAGAUACGGCCCAAACUCCUACGGGAGGCAGCAGCUAAGAAUAUUCCGCAAUGGACGAAAGUCUGACGGAGCGACGCCGCGUGGAUGAUGAAGGCCGGAAGGUUGUAAAAUCCUUUUGUCGGGGAAGAAUAAGCGCGGGAGGGAAUGCCCGCGUGAUGACAUGAACCGGCGAAUAAGCCCCGGCUAACUACGUGCCAGCAGCCGCGGUAAAGU
This 510-nucleotide ribosomal RNA is filed under the name uncultured bacterium. Its description in RNAcentral is "bacterial SSU rRNA". It matches the Rfam family "Bacterial small subunit ribosomal RNA", at positions 29 to 526 of the family's 1533-position model. The record is from RNAcentral.